This 544-nucleotide ribosomal RNA is filed under the name uncultured bacterium. Its description in RNAcentral is "bacterial SSU rRNA". It matches the Rfam family "Bacterial small subunit ribosomal RNA", at positions 57 to 507 of the family's 1533-position model. The record is from RNAcentral.
GCAAGUCGAACGGGCUAGUGCUUCGCACUAGUCUCUUUCUGGGGUUGUUACUCUAAGGCUACCUGCUAAAGUUAUUGCUUUAAAGCAGGGGUUUUAGGUAGAGUUUCCCCGAAAGGGGCCAGUGCGGAGCACUGGCCAGUGGCGAACGGGUGAGUAACACGUGGGUAAUCUACCCUCGAGUGGGGAAUAAGCUUCCAAAGGGGGUCUAAUGCCGCAUAACGUUUCAUAACGAUGGUUAUGAAACCAAAGCCCAAAAGGCGCUCGAGGAGGAGCCUGCGUCCUAUCAGCUUGUUGGCAGGGUAAUGGCCUACCAAGGCUAUGACGGGUAGCCGGCCUGAGAGGGUGUCCGGCCACACUGGAACUGAGACACGGUCCAGACUCCUACGGGAGGCAGCAGUGGGGAAUUUUGCGCAAUGGGGGAAACCCUGACGCAGCGACGCCGCGUGGAGGAUGACGGCCUUCGGGUUGUAAACUCCUGUCAGAAGGGACGAAAUCCCGCAAGGGACUGACGGUACCUUCAGAGGAAGCCCCGGCUAACUACGUG